This 495-nucleotide ribosomal RNA is filed under the name uncultured bacterium. Its description in RNAcentral is "partial 16S ribosomal RNA". It matches the Rfam family "Bacterial small subunit ribosomal RNA", at positions 28 to 505 of the family's 1533-position model. The record is from RNAcentral.
GAUGAACGCUGGCGGCGUGCCUAAUACAUGCAAGUCGAGCGAACAGAUAAGGAGCUUGCUCCUUUGACGUUAGCGGCGGACGGGUGAGUAACACGUGGGUAACCUACCUAUAAGACUGGAAUAACUCCGGGAAACCGGGGCUAAUGCCGGAUAACAUUUAGAACCGCAUGGUUCUAAAGUGAAAGAUGGUUUUGCUAUCACUUAUAGAUGGACCCGCGCCGUAUUAGCUAGUUGGUAAGGUAACGGCUUACCAAGGCAACGAUACGUAGCCGACCUGAGAGGGGGAGCGGCCACAGGGGAAGUGAGACAGGGGAGAGACACCUGCGGGAGGAAGCAGGAGGGGAUGGUGCGAAAUGGGCGAGAGGCUGACGGAACAAUGACGCGUGAGUGAUAAAGGUCGUCGGAUCGUAAAACGUUGUUAUGAGAGAAAAACAAAUGGGUAAGUAACUGUGCGCGGCUGGACGGUACCUAAUCAGAAAGCCGCGGCUAACUAUG